Molecule: ribosomal RNA, 762 nt
Filed under: uncultured bacterium
Lineage: Bacteria
Description: bacterial SSU rRNA
Rfam family: Bacterial small subunit ribosomal RNA
Source: RNAcentral
UGCAGUCGNACGAAGUAGCAAUACUUAGUGGCAGACGGGUGAGUAACAUGUAGGUAUCUACCCUUUGGCCUGGAAUAACACGAGGAAACUUGUGCUAAUACCGGAUAAGUCUUUACAGAGAAAGCUUUAUGCACCAUUGGAUGAGCCUGCACUUGAUUAGUUUGUUGGUAGGGUAAUGGCCUACCAAGACUGUGAUCAAUAGCUGAUUUGAGAGGAUGAUCAGCCACAUUGGGACUGAGACACGGCCCAAACUCCUACGGGAGGCAGCAGUGGGGAAUCUUGCACAAUGGAGGAAACUCUGAUGCAGCGAUGCCGCGUGAGUGAAGAAGGCCUUUGGGUUGUAAAGCUCUUUCGUCGGGGAAGAAAAUGACUGUACCCGAAUAAGAAGGUCCGGCUAACUUCGUGCCAGCAGCCGCGGUAAUACGAAGGGACCUAGCGUAGUUCGGAAUUACUGGGCUUAAAGAGUUCGUAGGUGGUUGAAAAAGUUGGUGGUGAAAUCCCAGAGCUUAACUCUGGAACUGCCAUCAAAACUUUUCAGCUAGAGUAUGAUAGAGGAAAGCAGANUUUCUAGUGUAGAGGUGAAAUUCGUAGAUAUUAGAAAGAAUACCAAUUGCGAANGCAGCUUUCUGGAUCAUUACUGACACUGANGAACGAAAGCAUGGGUAGCGAANANGANUAGAUACCCUCGUAGUCCAUGCCGUAAACGAUGUGUGUUAGACGUUGGAAAUUUAUUUUCAGUGUCGCANCGAAAGCANUAAACAC